CUGUGCUCCAAUGGGGCCAAAGGUACAAUAUUGCACUUGGGGUCGCAAAAGGACUGGCCUAUCUCCACCAUGAGUGUCUUGAAUGGAUUGUGCACUGUGAUGUCAAGCCAGAGAACAUAUUGUUAGAUAGAGACUUUCAGCCCAAGAUUGCAGAUUUUGGACUGAUGAAGCUGCAGCAGAGAGGAUCAAGCGCACAAAUGUUGUCAAAAGUGCAUGGGACUAGAGGCUACAUUGCGCCAGAAUGGGCUCUAAAUCUUCCCAUCAAUGGUAAGGCCGAUGUUUACAGCUAUGGCGUGGUGCUUAUUGAGUUAGUGAAGGGGGUUCGCCUUUCCAGAUGGGUGGUUGAGGGCGAAGAGGAGGUUGAAAUGGCUGAUAUAUGCUCUAUUGAAAUCCUUAAAGAAAAACUAGCCAGCGAAGACCAGUCAUGGCUUCUGGAGUUUGUUGACCACAGGCUGGAUGGAGACUUCAACCAUUCAGAAGCACUCAUGAUGCUUAAGAUAGCAGUAUCAUGUGUGGAAGAAGAGAGAAGCAGAAGACCGAACAUGAGCCAUGUGGUCGAAACUCUGCUUUCACUUGUGGAAUAAUGUUCAAUACUGUGUUUACUACCGCUACAUCUAGCUGGAUUGUGUAAGAAUAAUAUUCUGUGAUGUUGCACAGAAAAAUUGCCCUUAUCCCUGCCAUAUGCGGCAACUCUACGGAUUUGUAUCAAUACCUAACUACUCUACAGAGUACACUAUGUAGUAGUAUUUCACUUGUCUAUCUGUUUGGAAGCUUAGGUCUAUAUAACACAUCUAUAUACUUCCAGCAGUUUUGAAGAAGAAAUCAUUAAUCCUUAGGAGCUAAAUAAAUCGGUAGCAAACAGAAAUAUAUCGAAUCUAACAUGAAUUGUAGGUUGGAUCAAUCUAGCCAGUUUAUUACUUGAUUUAUUGAGCAGCCAACAGAUUAAUGAACCCAAUGUACUAACAGAAAACUCACCGCUAUACAAACUAUAUAUAUGCUGCAAAAGAAUGAACAAUGACAAGAGCUGUUAAACAAUCAGCAGUUCACCAGUGCUAGGCCGGCGUCCGCCAAUCACUCAUCGUUGCUGCCAAUGCGCCCCGCAGCGCCACCGCCCGCUUAUCAACCUUGAGCCCUUCCUCCGCGG
This 1144-nucleotide long non-coding RNA is filed under the name Hordeum vulgare. RNAcentral's name for it is "long non-coding RNA (HVUL_LNC017766)". The record is from RNAcentral. Lineage: Eukaryota; Viridiplantae; Streptophyta; Magnoliopsida; Poales; Poaceae.